Molecule: transfer RNA, 72 nt
Filed under: Camelus bactrianus (Bactrian camel)
Lineage: Eukaryota; Metazoa; Chordata; Mammalia; Artiodactyla; Camelidae
Also listed under: 1 other name
Rfam family: tRNA
About the family: Transfer RNA (tRNA) molecules are approximately 80 nucleotides in length.
Source: Rfam by way of RNAcentral
GAGGGUCUAGUUCUAUGGUACAGUGUGUGCUUAGCAUGCAUGAGGUCCUGGGUUCAAUCCCCAGUACCCCCA